UAAAGCGGCGUACGGGUGAGUAACACGUGGAUCAUCUACCUUUUAGUGGGGAAUAACCCUGGGAAACCGGGGAUAAUACCGCAUAAGCCUGAAAAGGGAAAGCAGCAAUGCGCUGGAAGAGGAGUCCGCGGCCGAUUAGCUAGUUGGUGAGGUAAUGGCUCACCAAGGCGACGAUCGGUAGCCGGCCUGAGAGGGCACACGGCCACACUGGCACUGAAAUACGGGCCAG
RNAcentral lists this ribosomal RNA (229 nucleotides) under uncultured bacterium. RNAcentral's name for it is "partial 16S ribosomal RNA". It matches the Rfam family "Bacterial small subunit ribosomal RNA", at positions 91 to 334 of the family's 1533-position model. The record is from RNAcentral.